GAGCUCGUAGGCGGUUUGUCACGUCUGCUGUGAAAACCCGAGGCUCWACCUCGGGCUUGCAGUGGGUACGGGCAGACUAGAGUGCGGUAGGGGAGAUUGGAAUUCCUGGUGUAGCGGUGGAAUGCGCAGAUAUCAGGAGGAACACCGAUGGCGAAGGCAGAUCUCUGGGCCGUAACUGACGCUGAGGAGCGAAAGCAUGGGGAGCAAACAGGCUUAGAUACCCUGGUAGUCCAUGCCGUAAACGUUGGGAACUAGAUGUGGGGACCAUUCCACGGUCUCCGUGUCGUAGCUAACGCAUUAAGU
Molecule: ribosomal RNA, 303 nt
Filed under: Agrococcus sp.
Lineage: Bacteria; Bacillati; Actinomycetota; Actinomycetes; Micrococcales; Microbacteriaceae
Description: bacterial SSU rRNA
Source: RNAcentral